This 485-nucleotide ribosomal RNA is filed under the name uncultured bacterium. RNAcentral describes it as "bacterial SSU rRNA". It matches the Rfam family "Bacterial small subunit ribosomal RNA", at positions 1 to 507 of the family's 1533-position model. The record is from RNAcentral.
ACACUGUACGAGUUUGAUAUGGCUCAGAGCGAACGUUUGCGGCGGGCCUAACACAUGCAAGUCGAACGCACUAGCAAUAGUGAGUGGCGCACGGGUGCGUAACACGUGGGUAAUCAACCCUUCAGCCUGGGAUAACGACUCGAAAGGGUCGCUAAUACCGGAUACGGCGCGAGAGGCUUCGGCUUCUCACGAGAAAGCCACGCAAGGGGCACUGAAGGACGAGCCUGCGGCCCAUCAGCUAGUUGGUGAGGUAAGAGCUCACCAAGGCUAAGACGGGUAGCUGGUCUGAGAGGAUGAUCAGCCACACUGGAACUGAGACACGGUCCAGACUCCUACGGGAGGCAGCAGUGGGGAAUAUUGGACAAUGGGCGAAAGCCUGAUCCAGCCACGCCGCGUGGGUGAUGAAGGCCUUCGGGUUGUAAAGCCCUGUCGGGAGGGACGAAUCAAUGACGGUACCUCCCAAGAAAGCACCGGCUGACUCCGUG